GGGAAGUGGGGGAUUUAUUGUAUCAGCCACAGGGGCUCGAUCAGACUUCAGCUUAAAAUACUUCACUAAGAACUGGACAGGGCUUAGAAACCUGAGUUUGGGGUGGGGACACAAGCCUGGCAGCUGUGAUGUCCAGGUAGCAGGAAUCCCCGGCAGGGUCGCUUGGCGUCUAGGCCUCAGUUGCCCACACUGUCCCACGCACUGAGCCCACAGAGGAUCCCUCGCUUCUCCACAGUGUGAGCACACGUCUACUUGAUUCUGCCUCCCUAUCUGCUCACAUCACCCAGGUACACUGCUGGGAAUGUGCCAGCCGUGCCUCAGGGUCCUCCCCGCCUGUGCUGGCUCGGUGUUCUGGGGGGAGGGAGGGAGGAGGCUCCUCACCUUGGAUUCCCCAGACUUGCCCUCAUGGGACUUAAUGAUGCAAAUCCUGUGGCAUUUUCCCUCGGUGGUCCUGCUUAGUCCACCCAAUGCCUGUUCUCUUUCUCCUCGUGACCUUGCAAUGUCUUCUGUCUCAGAUUUUGAGCAGACUAUGGUGUUAGUUGCCUGUGGGCCUUAUACCACCUCUGACAGCAUCACAUACGACCCCCUGCUUGAUCUGAUCAGCACCAUCAACCAUGACCGGCCAGAUGUCUGCAUCCUGUUCGGCCCUUUCCUGGAUGCUAAGCAUGAACAAGUGGAGGUGAGUGCAUGGGGGAGGGGCUGGGUACUUACACUCACCC
Molecule: long non-coding RNA, 719 nt
Filed under: Rattus norvegicus (Norway rat)
Lineage: Eukaryota; Metazoa; Chordata; Mammalia; Rodentia; Muridae
Description: long non-coding RNA NONRATT003482
Source: RNAcentral